AAAAAAAAUUUAAUUUUGUGUGCAAAUAAAUUAAAAAAUUAUGUUCUUUAAAUACAUUUUUUUAAAUUAAGUUUCUGUUAAUGUACGCUCCGUCUGAACAGACUCACGACGAAUCGCGACCGCGCGAUGGCGCUGUGAGACUACCCGUGGCAAUCUUGAGUUGUGCAAUCUAUUAUAUCCUCGCCCCCCCCCUUCCCUCUCGUCUUUUCUUUUGCUUCUUCCGGUCUCGCGUUGCUCGCCCUGAGUGUCCUCCCUGACUCGCGUGUAUUCAAUAAAGAUCUGCUUGUUCUCGACAUUCUCGCCGUUAUAUUUUUUAUCCCGCUGGCCGUCCUCAAAGGCUCUGCAGCCUCUGAUUCCAACAGUUUCCUUACUCUUCCUAACUCUUUUUAAUUAGAACACUUUUACUUUGGCUCAAAUACAAAUAUAUAUUUUUUAUAUUUCUUAUAAUUUAUUGUUAAUUUUUUUUUAAAAAGUAAAAUACGGAUAAAUCUCAUUUUUCUUCAUUAAAAUUAUAAAAGCUUUUACAAUAUUUGGAAAACUUUUUAGGAACAAUUGAUAACUAUUUUCAAUUCGUAAUUAAUAAAAAAAAGCCCAACGAAAUAAAAAUAUUUUUUAACCAAAAAAA
Molecule: long non-coding RNA, 625 nt
Organism: Monomorium pharaonis (pharaoh ant)
Lineage: Eukaryota; Metazoa; Arthropoda; Insecta; Hymenoptera; Formicidae
Exons: 2
Source: RefSeq, a predicted model, not a curated record